GCCGCCGCCGCAGAUAGCCGAGCCGCUUUAGCGAAGAUGGUGAAGGGCAGGCAAGGCGAACGCGUCAGAUUGUAUGUUCGCGGCACGAUUCUCGGCUACAAGAGAUCGAAGUCGAAUCAGUACGAGAACACCUCGCUGAUGCAGAUUGAGGGGGUGAAUACGAAGGAGGAGGUUGCGUGGUACUGCGGGAAGAGGCUGGCGUACAUCUACAGGGCCAAGGUGAAGAAGAAUGGCUCGCACUACCGCUGCAUAUGGGGCAAGGUUGCUCGCCCUCAUGGGAACAGCGGCGUCGUUCGCGCGAAGUUCAAGUCGAACCUGCCACCGAAGGCUAUGGGGUCGAAGGUUAGGGUUUUCAUGUAUCCGAGUAACAUCUGAGUGUCUACUGUUCUAAUGAGUCGUUCAGCUAUAAGAGAUUUCGCUACCAGUGGCUUCAAUUUUGUGUUGCUCAAAGACUGUUUAAACAGUUAUAAUGG
Molecule: unclassified non-coding RNA, 473 nt
Filed under: Hevea brasiliensis (rubber tree)
Lineage: Eukaryota; Viridiplantae; Streptophyta; Magnoliopsida; Malpighiales; Euphorbiaceae
Source: RNAcentral